GUGUUGAACGUGUGACUGAUGAAGGAGAUAGAAUGGGCAACGUCUCCUUUGAACAGAUACAGUUCUGGAUGAGGGUGACAAAGCUUUUUUAAAGCUGUCACUGGUUUGUCGUCUCUUCCGGGACAUUGUUUGGACAACAAUCAUUCCGGGCCCGGGCACAUUUCGAGUGGCUUGACAGUGUAGUGCCAUGAAAACAUCACAGUGCUGCAUGUAAAGACGAGUUUCGCAGGAUGUACGAACUGCAGUGCUGCCAGAACUGUCAAGAAACUUAUAAAGACUACAUACUGGGCUACGUUGGGCAUGGGAGACGAGGGGAGCUUGUGGCAUUUUACAGCGAAAACGAGCACCCUGGAUUCUGCAGCCAGCUUCAUGAAUGGCUGGGUGUGUGAGUGGCUGGGUGUGUGAGUGGCUGGGUGUGUGAGUGGCUGGGUGUGUGAGUGGCUGAGUGUGAGUGGCUGGGUGUUGCAUUUUUAAAUAAAGACUUCUGUAUUUGUUUGACCAAAGCAUGUAACCAAACAUUUUAAAGGCUAGUGUGCCAAUAAAUGCCAAUAAAGAUAUUGUAUUAGCUUGGACAAA
This is a long non-coding RNA of Astyanax mexicanus (Mexican tetra), 576 nucleotides long. RefSeq lists it as uncharacterized. The transcript has 4 exons. Lineage: Eukaryota; Metazoa; Chordata; Actinopteri; Characiformes; Acestrorhamphidae. The record is from RefSeq and is a predicted model, not a curated record.